This 77-nucleotide transfer RNA is filed under the name Streptomyces albus subsp. chlorinus. Its description in RNAcentral is "tRNA-Lys". It matches the Rfam family "tRNA". From Rfam's summary of the family: Transfer RNA (tRNA) molecules are approximately 80 nucleotides in length. Their secondary structure includes four short double-helical elements and three loops (D, anti-codon, and T loops). Further hydrogen bonds mediate the characteristic L-shaped molecular structure. tRNAs have two regions of fundamental functional importance: the anti-codon, which is responsible for specific mRNA codon recognition, and the 3' end, to which the tRNAs corresponding amino acid is attached (by aminoacyl-tRNA synthetases). tRNAs cope with the degeneracy of the genetic code in two manners: having more than one tRNA (with a specific anti-codon) for a particular amino acid; and 'wobble' base-pairing, i.e. permitting non-standard base-pairing at the 3rd anti-codon position. Lineage: Bacteria; Bacillati; Actinomycetota; Actinomycetes; Kitasatosporales; Streptomycetaceae. The record is from RNAcentral.
GCGCCGCUAGCUCAGUUGGUUAGAGCAGCUGACUCUUAAUCAGCGGGUCCGGGGUUCGAGUCCCUGGCGGCGUACCU